UAAGACAUAGCCGAGUGGUUAAGGCGAUAUCCUUGCAAUGCAUUUCCCGUGUGAGGGCGUAGGUUCAAAUCCUACUAUCUUCA
This 83-nucleotide transfer RNA is filed under the name Daphnia galeata. It matches the Rfam family "tRNA". From Rfam's summary of the family: Transfer RNA (tRNA) molecules are approximately 80 nucleotides in length. Their secondary structure includes four short double-helical elements and three loops (D, anti-codon, and T loops). The record is from Rfam by way of RNAcentral. Lineage: Eukaryota; Metazoa; Arthropoda; Branchiopoda; Diplostraca; Daphniidae.